AAUCAAUGAGCUUGUUAAGCAUAUAUUUUGAAAAUAUAAGAAAGAAUUAACUAAUUCUAUUGAUUU
RNAcentral lists this transfer RNA (66 nucleotides) under Megalocaria dilatata. RNAcentral's name for it is "tRNA-Ser". Lineage: Eukaryota; Metazoa; Arthropoda; Insecta; Coleoptera; Coccinellidae. The record is from RNAcentral.